RNAcentral lists this long non-coding RNA (703 nucleotides) under Monodelphis domestica (gray short-tailed opossum). RNAcentral's name for it is "lncRNA (ENSMODG00000030039.2)". The record is from RNAcentral. Lineage: Eukaryota; Metazoa; Chordata; Mammalia; Didelphimorphia; Didelphidae.
UAUUAUUAAUACAUACCCAAACAGCUUUAGACUAUGGGAACCUGCCAUUUGUUGAUAAUUUUUGUGGCACUAUGAUUAAUGUUUGUGUCUGAUUCUAGGAAAUGGGAUAAAAAAAAGGAGCACAGAGAUAACCUGAAUAAUGCCAAAAGAGCUCACAGGUCUACAAAUCAAAAACCAAUCCAGGAGAUCAAUUCUGAAGCAAUUAAAUAAGCAGCCGACAAGGCUUUUUAAGCACCAGAGCAUUUGUCUCAAUAGAAAGCAGAGCAAGACCAAAGAGGAAAUGGAAAAACAACAUGGAUCUGCAGAAAAGCAAGAGACUUGGAAUUUUGGCAACUGCCAGUCAACUGAGAUGGAGUCACAGUUCCAUGGAAUUUUGAAGGAAGCAGUUGGGCAGCUUGAGCUGUUUUGAGACUCACUUCUUUUCUGACAGUUGGGAGAAAGCCAGACUCUCUCUUGUUCAAUGAUUAUCUGACUGAGUACUGAGAAGACUUUUAGAACUUAGCUCAGAAGAAACUCUGCCAUCCAGUUGUUAUCAACAUCUCCCCUUAGAGAAAAAUCACUUUAUUUCCUGAAUUGAGAGCUCCAAUCAACAGGAAAAUAUAGGAAGUUAGAGAAACCCAUUUUCCUCUCUCCCCCCCUCCUUCUCCUUACUUCCUAUAUUUAAAAGAAUAAAAACUUUUUGUUAAAAAUUUGAGGGUGAAAG